RNAcentral lists this long non-coding RNA (261 nucleotides) under Glycine max (soybean). Its description in RNAcentral is "long non-coding RNA (GMAX_LNC002762)". Lineage: Eukaryota; Viridiplantae; Streptophyta; Magnoliopsida; Fabales; Fabaceae. The record is from RNAcentral.
AAGGGAGGAAUCUAUUCCAACACCAACACCACUUCCUCCUUAUAUCCUAACCUUAACAACAACACUCUUGGAGGCUUCAACAAGGGAAUCUAUUCCAACACCACAUCCUCACCCUAUCUUAACCUUAACAACAACAACAACAACCACCUCAACAACAACCUUAACAGCAAUAAUCUCAAGGGCUACAAGACAUUUUUUAAGGGUGAAGAUCAGUUUCACACACCCAAAAGUGCCAAGAAAAACAGCAGCAACAACAACAAC